RNAcentral lists this ribosomal RNA (468 nucleotides) under uncultured bacterium. Its description in RNAcentral is "partial 16S ribosomal RNA". It matches the Rfam family "Bacterial small subunit ribosomal RNA", at positions 28 to 507 of the family's 1533-position model. The record is from RNAcentral.
GACGAACGCUGGCGGCGUGCUUAACACAUGCAAGUCGAACGGAAAGGCCCUGCUUUUGUGGGGUGCUCGAGUGGCGAACGGGUGAGUAACACGUGAGUAACCUGCCCUUGACUUUGGGAUAACUUCAGGAAACUGGGGCUAAUACCGGAUAGGAGCUCCUGCUGCAUGGUGGGGGUUGGAAAGUUUCGGCGGUUGGGGAUGGACUCGCGGCUUAUCAGCUUGUUGGUGGGGUAGUGGCUUACCCAGGCUUUGACGGGUAGCCGGCCUGAGAGGGUGAACGGCCACAUUGGGACUGAGAUACGGCGCAGACUCCUACGGGAGGCAGCAGUGGGGAAUAUUGCACAAUGGGCGGAAGCCUGAUGCAGCAACGCCGCGUGCGGGAUGACGGCCUUCGGGUUGUAAACCGCUUUCGCCUGUGACGAAGCGUGAGUGACGGUAAUGGGUAAAGAAGCACCGGCUAACUACGUG